UGUCAACCAUCUAUGUUAAGGACUUGGGAGA
RNAcentral lists this non-coding RNA (31 nucleotides) under Rattus norvegicus (Norway rat). Lineage: Eukaryota; Metazoa; Chordata; Mammalia; Rodentia; Muridae. The record is from RNAcentral.